GUCAACACGAUGAAUUGGUAAGUACAAAAGGAAUGUUCCUAAACAGAGAGCUUCGGUAGCUGAAAAGAAGCAGGAAACGAAUUUUGGAAAAUGGCCAAGGAGUGAUUCGUCCCGAGCAAUGAUGCAAGGCGGCGACGGCAGCAUCCGUUAUCUUGCUAGAGUAUGAUCGUACUCGAAGAGGAGCUAUAUGUGAAUAUAGCUUAAACUGAGGUGGUAACACGCAAAAAGGCGUCCUCAAG
This 239-nucleotide non-coding RNA is filed under the name Enterococcus sp. RNAcentral's name for it is "T-box sequence". It matches the Rfam family "T-box leader". From Rfam's summary of the family: Uncharged tRNA acts as the effector for transcription antitermination of genes in the T-box leader family. T-boxes are found upstream of many aminoacyl-tRNA synthetase genes and some amino acid biosynthetic genes usually in Gram-positive bacteria. The anticodon of a specific tRNA base pairs to a specifier sequence within the T-box motif, and the NCCA acceptor tail of the tRNA base pairs to a conserved bulge in the T-box antiterminator hairpin. Lineage: Bacteria; Bacillati; Bacillota; Bacilli; Lactobacillales; Enterococcaceae. The record is from RNAcentral.